This is a long non-coding RNA of Centropristis striata (black sea bass), 242 nucleotides long. RefSeq lists it as uncharacterized. The transcript is spliced from 3 exons. The record is from RefSeq and is a predicted model, not a curated record. Lineage: Eukaryota; Metazoa; Chordata; Actinopteri; Perciformes; Serranidae.
UUUUGCAUCCGCGUCAUUGGUGCGUCACUUCCGGGUUCCCGGUUGUUUAGCCGACAGGGUGAUUGUUUGCAUGCUGCUCUGGGCAACUCAUAUGCGGCGGUGCCUUCUGUUUGGUGAAUGCCAGCAGCGGCCGGUGUCCUCUCUCCCUCUCUCCUCCUUGAGAGUAUGUGUGUGUCCCUAACAGGUAUGUGUGUAUUAGUAUGGUCAACUACAGUAUUAUAAUAUCAAGCCGUAAUGCUAAC